RNAcentral lists this long non-coding RNA (1521 nucleotides) under Drosophila guanche. The record is from RNAcentral. Lineage: Eukaryota; Metazoa; Arthropoda; Insecta; Diptera; Drosophilidae.
AGAAAUGUCAGAGCUCCCAGAAAAAGUAAGUGCGCAUAUUAAAAUUAUAUAUAUUUCGAAUUAAAAGAGUCGUAUAUGUAGUGAUGAGUCUUCCUUCUCAGCUUCUUCUUGUGGUGGAAUUUAUUUUCCUGUACAUACGCAAAUUGUUGUUGGGAGUUCUUUUUCGGGCAUGCAGAGAGCAACUUUCGUCAGAGCUGCAUGGCCACCAAUGCCACCAAAAAUUUAAUGCGCCACGGACUCGGAACUCCUGACAGUCGGCAGUAGGCGGACUCUGGCUUCGGCUUCGGCUGCGGCUGCGGCUGCGGCUGAGGGUGUGCGCCAAAAGCAAUAAAUUUUCAUGCCCACUGUCAGAGUCGAGAGCGGAGCGUGUUCUGGGAGGGGACAGGUCCAGGUCCAGGUCCAGGUUCUGUUCCACCUCCCGCAGCUAGUGCCGUCGGGCUGAGUGUCAUAUUUCUGGGCGGCACAUCUUACGGAAGGUAUUUUCGCUGGGUAAUGGCAGCAUGAAUAACAAAUUUUCAAGAUCGAGUUCUCAUUUGCUUUAAAUUUAUUUGUAAUAUUGCCACACAUUUUGCUUUUCUUUCACAGUUUCAUUUAUCUGGAAUUGACGUCAAUUUCAUCAGUAAUUGUACCGUUAACGGUGGAAAGCGUAUUUCUCCUUCGCUUUCGUGACAAAGUCUUUUCAUGUUUGCUUUCAUUUCAUUCGCCGUUAUUCGCUUCUUUUUUUGUGUUUAUUUUACGACCACGGACAAAAGUCCCGUUUCAUUUUUUGCCACUUUUGUAGCGUUUUACAGUCAUAUGAAUAUUAAAUUAAAUUUCGGUGCUCUCUUCUCAUUUAAAUUGUGUGUGUGAGGGUGGCACAGACGCAGGGAAUUGGAAUUGAAAUGGCAGACUACGUACACGCCUCGACUCUGCUUGAUAAUGGAAACAGCAGAGUGGCAAAUGCAGAAGAUGCCACAUGUGCCAUUCAUCAGGGGCGGCUAUCCGCUUUUAAUCAAAUGCAAAGUUGACCAAAGAACCGGAAAGAGAACCGGCAGACAUGGAGAGUGGGACAGGUACAUUCUGCAGCCUCAAGAUGGCCAAGUGUGCCCUUCCUUCCAUCCCUGCAUCGGCAAAUGCAAAGCAGUUAGAGCCGCUGGGUGCUGGGUGCUGCCUGCUGACUGUGCCUGAUAUGGCUCACUUCUGUCAUUUAUCUUCUUUUACGGUUUGCAAGGGCGUGCCCGACGACCAUUCGGUUCCAGAGGUGCAAGCCAGCUGCUGAGCAACGUAUGAGGAAGCACACACAUAAACACACAAUAUACACUGGCAGAAAUAAUAUCGAAAUUAAAAUUCGGCUGACUCCAUUUUAAGCUUGAAAUUUAGGAAAAAAAACGUUUUAUUUGGUUGAGUAGUGUGAUCAGAAUAAAGAGAAACAUUAAUCUACUUUCGCUCGGUGUAUUCCUGGACAAUCCCACACACAAAUCUGUACGAGUGUGUGCCGCACAUGGCUGUGCAUAUUUGAGAAAUUGUGUUUGCACUUUGGCU